UACGUAGGGGGCGAGCGUUGUUCGGAAUUACUGGGCGUAAAGCGCACGUAGGCGGAUCAUUUAGUCAGGGGUGAAAUCCCGGGGCUCAACCUCGGAAUUGCCUUCGAUACUGUUUGGCUUGAGACCGGAAGAGGUAAGUGGAACUGCGAGUGUAGAGGUGAAAUUCGUAGAUAUUCGCAAGAACACCAGUGGCGAAGGCGGCUUACUGGUCCGGUUCUGACGCUGAGGCGCGAAAGCGUGGGGAGCAAACAGG
RNAcentral lists this ribosomal RNA (253 nucleotides) under uncultured bacterium. Its description in RNAcentral is "partial 16S ribosomal RNA". It matches the Rfam family "Bacterial small subunit ribosomal RNA", at positions 524 to 776 of the family's 1533-position model. The record is from RNAcentral.